UAGCAUGUUCUGCACAUUUGCUUGCCGAGCAGAUUUGUUCUGCGAGUGUACUCGGGCUGCGCUGGUACCAAGGGCUCACGUGUUGUCUUGUUCCAGCGCGCCUGGCACGCCAGGAGGCGCCUCCCACAUCUAAAUGAACGUGUAUGCGCCUCUGCUUGAGUGCGUGCAACCCGAUCAGUGGUACGUUUGUCGGCGCCACCUCCCACUUCGUCCGGCGGCAACACCUCCGGGAAGGUGGCGGUGACCUCAGGCCGGGCGGCCGACCUCGGGGCGCUGACUGCCGCCGGUUGACUGUCACGUGACACCGCCAGCACGGCCGCUGCCACCGGCAGGGCUGACCACCCCCGGCCUGACCGGGGCGAGGCCCGGCCGGUCAUGAGUACGCCCGGGCAGCGAACAUUGGUCGGCGUGUGCGCCAUAGCAGGGCGACUGUAGGUCGCCGGUGACUGUGUUCUGUCCGUCACCGCACACGUGAGGUGCCAGGCAGCCGCCGGCGUCGAGUCGCUGCACGCUGUCGCCCGCGGAAAUUAGGCUGCUUCGCAUGGCGUCAUGUCUCCUCCGCUUCAUCUCAGCCCCCGCGGUCCCACCACACCUCCAGCAGGCUCCCACACUCGCCCCCGCAGCGUCUCUGCCUGCUCUACCCCUCGCUCCUCAGACGUCACGACCUCGUACCCGCGCUCCGCCGGUCGGUCUCGCGGCCGCCCGAGCGCUCGUUCGAGGGCCUGGCUAGCCCGUCACCUGCCUCCCGGCGGGCCCGCGCUCCCGGACCGUGCUCGGUGGGUGUGCUAGGGGGCGCGGGCCGCCCGGGCCGGGGCCGCCCGAGCGGCGAACCCUGCGCGACCCCGCCGACGCAGGCUCAUAUUUUUGUUUGCCAAACCCGGUUCUGUAUUGUCACUGAGAGUCCGAGUGGAAGUGUAUUUAUGAAAUCACAUGUUACAAAUAAAACCGAAAUCCCCGG
Long non-coding RNA from Pollicipes pollicipes, 958 nucleotides. RefSeq lists it as uncharacterized. The transcript is spliced from 2 exons. The record is from RefSeq and is a predicted model, not a curated record. NCBI's taxonomy places the organism in Eukaryota, Metazoa, Arthropoda, Thecostraca, Pollicipedomorpha, Pollicipedidae.